Molecule: long non-coding RNA, 477 nt
Organism: Gossypium arboreum
Lineage: Eukaryota; Viridiplantae; Streptophyta; Magnoliopsida; Malvales; Malvaceae
Exons: 2
Source: RefSeq, a predicted model, not a curated record
CACAUUUUUUUUGUUUCUAAAGUCUUUCCAUAAUUAUUAAAGAAUUUAAGCAAAGCAUUAUUGAAACUAUAGUUUCAAAAGCUUCCUAAACAUGGCUAAACAUUUAGGGUUCUUCAUCUUUCUCAUUGUGGUGCUAACAUUUUCGAAUUUCAAACGUGUUGAAUGUGGAAUCCUCAAACGUGUUCAUCGACGAGGGUAUGCAAAUUUGGCCACCCUUGGAGUUGUGUGCAAAUGUUGUGAUGGUGAGGGAGGUGAAUGUAGGAGCUCAUGGGAUGCUUCUUAUUCUUGCCCAAAGCUUAAAUGUCUUCCAUGGAAGUAUCAGUAACCAUUUAUAUGAAUAUAUGAUUAAUAUUACUAUAAGAUUAAAGCUAUGUCUUUUACUAUAAAUAUCAAUUUCAGAUAACGAAUUGAUGAUGAUACCCUAUAUUAGUUAUUUUUAAAUACAAUAAAAUAAAACAUUUCAAGUUUUACUUGUAA